RNAcentral lists this non-coding RNA (158 nucleotides) under Paramoeba aestuarina. The record is from RNAcentral. Lineage: Eukaryota; Discosea; Flabellinia; Dactylopodida; Paramoebidae.
UCUUUUCCACUCUCUCUUGUCUCCUCUUAGUUCGUUCUUCUGUUCGUCUACUUUCGUAAAUAUGGCUUUGUAUGUCUUGACUGGUUCCCAAGAGGAACAAAUGAAAGAGCUUUUUUCUUUUUUUCAGUCUCUUAAAGAGGAACAAGAGAAAAAAGAAG